This is a non-coding RNA of Neurospora hispaniola, 107 nucleotides long. The record is from the annotation of a RefSeq genome assembly. Lineage: Eukaryota; Fungi; Ascomycota; Sordariomycetes; Sordariales; Sordariaceae.
GGUCCGUUGGUGUAAUGGGUAACACACUCGGGAGUAAUGCGAGAAAGCUCUUCGUGAGCUAUUACCAAGUAAACUGCAAGUUACCGGUUCGACUCCGGUGCGGGCCA